Molecule: ribosomal RNA, 301 nt
Filed under: uncultured bacterium
Lineage: Bacteria
Description: partial 16S ribosomal RNA
Rfam family: Bacterial small subunit ribosomal RNA
Source: RNAcentral
CAGCAGCCGCGGUAAUACAGAGGGUGCGAGCGUUAAUCGGAUUUACUGGGCGUAAAGCGUGCGUAGGAGGCUUCUUAAGUCGGAUGUGAAAUCCCUGAGCUUAACUUAGGAAUUGCAUUCGAUACUGGGAAGCUAGAGUAUGGGAGAGGAUGGUAGAAUUCCAGGUGUAGCGGUGAAAUGCGUAGAGAUCUGGAGGAAUACCGAUGGCGAAGGCAGCCAUCUGGCCUAAUACUGACGAUGAGGUACGAAAGCAUGGGGAGCAAACAGGAUUAGAUACCCCUGUAGUCCCUGUCUCUUAUAA